RNAcentral lists this ribosomal RNA (116 nucleotides) under Anolis carolinensis (green anole). The record is from RNAcentral. Lineage: Eukaryota; Metazoa; Chordata; Lepidosauria; Squamata; Anolidae.
GGGUGUAGCUGUACCAUAAAGACAGCAGAUCCCAUCUGAUCUUAGAAGCUAAGCAUGACCAUUCCUGGAUGGUACUUAGAUGGGAGACUGACAAUGAAAACCAAGUGCUGUAGGCU